RNAcentral lists this ribosomal RNA (253 nucleotides) under uncultured bacterium. RNAcentral's name for it is "partial 16S ribosomal RNA". It matches the Rfam family "Bacterial small subunit ribosomal RNA", at positions 524 to 776 of the family's 1533-position model. The record is from RNAcentral.
AACGUAGGACGCAAGCGUUAUCCGGAAUUACUGGGCGUAAAGAGCUCGUAGGUGGUUUGUCGCGUUGUCCGUGAAAACUCACAACUCAAUUGUGGGCGUGCGGGCGAUACGGGCAGACUGGAGUACUGCAGGGGAGACUGGAAUUCCUGGUGUAGCGGUGGAAUGCGCAGAUAUCAGGAGGAACACCGGUGGCGAAGGCGGGUCUCUGGGCAGUAACUGACGCUGAGGAGCGAAAGCGUGGGGAGCGAACAGG